AUAAUAGCUUAUGUUGAAUAUUGCCAAAAAGAUCUUACCAUUAAAUCAAGCAAUAUUUCACAUUCAACAGAAGAAGUACAAUCAUUGUAUUUAAAAAGUAUAUCAGAUCGAAAACUUUCAACUGAGAGUGCUAUUCCCUAAGAUAAUAGCUGUGGCAAGUAAAGGAGGCCAGACUUUAAAGGAGGCUGUCCAGAGAAUUUCCUUUGCGUUAUUCACUAAUAACCUCUGCUGUAAACUUAACUGGUCUGGUAUUACCAUAAAUGACAAUGAAAGUAACUUUGUAAAACAAAGACUUACACUUGCUUAAAAGAGCUGUAAAAAGAAAUCCUGCAACAACUUCAGCAACUGAAUCAGAUUUUCAAUAUGAGGUUGUGCGUUUUUUGCGUGGUGCAUCAGACCGCAAUGGCAGAAAAAAAGUUAGACAAGACCAAAAAAACAAACAAAGCCAAGAAAAAAGUGAUGC
This is an RNA transcript of Hydra vulgaris (swiftwater hydra), 463 nucleotides long. RefSeq lists it as uncharacterized. The record is from RefSeq and is a predicted model, not a curated record. NCBI's taxonomy places the organism in Eukaryota, Metazoa, Cnidaria, Hydrozoa, Anthoathecata, Hydridae.